UUAAAGNCAUUGGCUCAACCAAUGUAUGCUUUGGAAACUGUUAGACUUGAGCGCAGAAGGGGAGAGUGGAAUUCCAUGUGUAGCGGUGAAAUGCGUAGAUAUAUGGAGGAACACCGGUGGCGAAAGCGGCUCUCUGGUCUGUCACUGACGCUGAGGCUCGAAAGCGUGGGUAGCGGACAGGAUUAGAUACCCUGGUAGUNCACGCCGUAAACGCUGAGUGCUAGGUGUUAGGUCCUUUCCGGGACUUAGUGGCGACGCUAACGCAUUAAGCACUCCGCCUGGGGAGUACGACCGCAAGGUUGAAACUCAAAGGAAUUGACGGGGGCCCGCACAAGCGGUGGAGCAUGUGGUUUAAUUCGAAGCAACGCGAAGAACCUUACCAGGUCUUGACAUCCCGAUGCCCGCUCUAGAGAUAGAGUUUUUCUUCGGAACAUCGGAGACAGGUGGUGCAUGGUUGUCGUCAGCUCGUGUCGUGAGAUGUUGGGUUAAGUCCCGCAACGAGCGCAACCCUUAUUGUUAGUUGCCAUCAUUAAGUUGGGCACUCUAGCGAGACUGCCGGUAAUAAACCGGAGGAAGGUGGGGAUGACGUCAAAUCAUCAUGCCCCUUAUGACCUGGGCUACACACGUGCUACAAUGGUUGGUACAACGAGUCGCAAGCCGGUGACGGCAAGCUAAUCUCUGAAAGCCAAUCUCAGUUCGGAUUGUAGGCUGCAACUCGCCUACAUGAAGUCGGAAUCGCUAGUAAUCGCGGAUCAGCACGCCGCGGUGAAUACGUUCCCGGGCCUUGUACACACCGCCCGUCACACCACGAGAGUUUGUAACACCCAAAGUCGGUGAGGUAACCAUUUAUGGGGCCAGCCGCCUAAGGUGGGAUGGA
RNAcentral lists this ribosomal RNA (877 nucleotides) under uncultured bacterium. RNAcentral describes it as "bacterial SSU rRNA". It matches the Rfam family "Bacterial small subunit ribosomal RNA", at positions 595 to 1471 of the family's 1533-position model. The record is from RNAcentral.